This 383-nucleotide ribosomal RNA is filed under the name uncultured eukaryote. RNAcentral's name for it is "partial 18S ribosomal RNA". It matches the Rfam family "Eukaryotic small subunit ribosomal RNA", at positions 592 to 976 of the family's 1831-position model. The record is from RNAcentral.
CAAUAGCGUAUAUUAAAGUUGUUGCAGUUAAAAAGCUCGUAGUUGGAUUUCUGGUGGGAGCGAUCGGUCUGGCGCUUAGCGCGAGUACUUGCAUCGUCUCCGGCCAUCCUUGGGGAGAGUCUGUCUGGCAUUAAGUUGUCGGGCAGAGGAUCCUCAUCGUUUACUGUGAAAAAAUUAGAGUGUUCAAAGCAGGCUUAUGCCGUUGAAUAUAUUAACAUGGAAUAAUAAGAUAGGACUUUGGUACUAUUUUGUUGGUUUGCGCACCAAAGUAAUGAUUAAUAGGGACAGUUGGGGGUAUUCGUAUUCCGUUGUCAGAGGUGAAAUUCUUGGAUUUACGGAAGACGAACUACUGCGAAAGCAUUUACCAAGGAUGUUUUCAUUAA